RNAcentral lists this ribosomal RNA (2902 nucleotides) under Escherichia coli KTE234. RNAcentral describes it as "bacterial LSU rRNA". It matches the Rfam family "Bacterial large subunit ribosomal RNA". The record is from RNAcentral. Lineage: Bacteria; Pseudomonadati; Pseudomonadota; Gammaproteobacteria; Enterobacterales; Enterobacteriaceae.
UUAAGCGACUAAGCGUACACGGUGGAUGCCCUGGCAGUCAGAGGCGAUGAAGGACGUGCUAAUCUGCGAUAAGCGUCGGUAAGGUGAUAUGAACCGUUAUAACCGGCGAUUUCCGAAUGGGGAAACCCAGUGUGUUUCGACACACUAUCAUUAACUGAAUCCAUAGGUUAAUGAGGCGAACCGGGGGAACUGAAACAUCUAAGUACCCCGAGGAAAAGAAAUCAACCGAGAUUCCCCCAGUAGCGGCGAGCGAACGGGGAGGAGCCCAGAGUCUGAAUCAGUGUGUGUGUUAGUGGAAGCGUCUGGAAAGGCGCGCGAUACAGGGUGACAGCCCCGUACACAAAAAUGCACAUAUUGUGAGCUCGAUGAGUAGGGCGGGACACGUGGUAUCCUGUCUGAAUAUGGGGGGACCAUCCUCCAAGGCUAAAUACUCCUGACUGACCGAUAGUGAACCAGUACCGUGAGGGAAAGGCGAAAAGAACCCCGGCGAGGGGAGUGAAAAAGAACCUGAAACCGUGUACGUACAAGCAGUGGGAGCACGCUUAGGCGUGUGACUGCGUACCUUUUGUAUAAUGGGUCAGCGACUUAUAUUCUGUAGCAAGGUUAACCGAAUAGGGGAGCCGAAGGGAAACCGAGUCUUAACUGGGCGUUAAGUUGCAGGGUAUAGACCCGAAACCCGGUGAUCUAGCCAUGGGCAGGUUGAAGGUUGGGUAACACUAACUGGAGGACCGAACCGACUAAUGUUGAAAAAUUAGCGGAUGACUUGUGGCUGGGGGUGAAAGGCCAAUCAAACCGGGAGAUAGCUGGUUCUCCCCGAAAGCUAUUUAGGUAGCGCCUCGUGAAUUCAUCUCCGGGGGUAGAGCACUGUUUCGGCAAGGGGGUCAUCCCGACUUACCAACCCGAUGCAAACUGCGAAUACCGGAGAAUGUUAUCACGGGAGACACACGGCGGGUGCUAACGUCCGUCGUGAAGAGGGAAACAACCCAGACCGCCAGCUAAGGUCCCAAAGUCAUGGUUAAGUGGGAAACGAUGUGGGAAGGCCCAGACAGCCAGGAUGUUGGCUUAGAAGCAGCCAUCAUUUAAAGAAAGCGUAAUAGCUCACUGGUCGAGUCGGCCUGCGCGGAAGAUGUAACGGGGCUAAACCAUGCACCGAAGCUGCGGCAGCGACGCUUAUGCGUUGUUGGGUAGGGGAGCGUUCUGUAAGCCUGUGAAGGUGUGCUGUGAGGCAUGCUGGAGGUAUCAGAAGUGCGAAUGCUGACAUAAGUAACGAUAAAGCGGGUGAAAAGCCCGCUCGCCGGAAGACCAAGGGUUCCUGUCCAACGUUAAUCGGGGCAGGGUGAGUCGACCCCUAAGGCGAGGCCGAAAGGCGUAGUCGAUGGGAAACAGGUUAAUAUUCCUGUACUUGGUGUUACUGCGAAGGGGGGACGGAGAAGGCUAUGUUGGCCGGGCGACGGUUGUCCCGGUUUAAGCGUGUAGGCUGGUUUUCCAGGCAAAUCCGGAAAAUCAAGGCUGAGGCGUGAUGACGAGGCACUACGGUGCUGAAGCAACAAAUGCCCUGCUUCCAGGAAAAGCCUCUAAGCAUCAGGUAACAUCAAAUCGUACCCCAAACCGACACAGGUGGUCAGGUAGAGAAUACCAAGGCGCUUGAGAGAACUCGGGUGAAGGAACUAGGCAAAAUGGUGCCGUAACUUCGGGAGAAGGCACGCUGAUAUGUAGGUGAAGUCCCUUGCGGAUGGAGCUGAAAUCAGUCGAAGAUACCAGCUGGCUGCAACUGUUUAUUAAAAACACAGCACUGUGCAAACACGAAAGUGGACGUAUACGGUGUGACGCCUGCCCGGUGCCGGAAGGUUAAUUGAUGGGGUCAGCGCAAGCGAAGCUCUUGAUCGAAGCCCCGGUAAACGGCGGCCGUAACUAUAACGGUCCUAAGGUAGCGAAAUUCCUUGUCGGGUAAGUUCCGACCUGCACGAAUGGCGUAAUGAUGGCCAGGCUGUCUCCACCCGAGACUCAGUGAAAUUGAACUCGCUGUGAAGAUGCAGUGUACCCGCGGCAAGACGGAAAGACCCCGUGAACCUUUACUAUAGCUUGACACUGAACAUUGAGCCUUGAUGUGUAGGAUAGGUGGGAGGCUUUGAAGUGUGGACGCCAGUCUGCAUGGAGCCGACCUUGAAAUACCACCCUUUAAUGUUUGAUGUUCUAACGUUGACCCGUGAUCCGGGUUGCGGACAGUGUCUGGUGGGUAGUUUGACUGGGGUGGUCUCCUCCUAAAGAGUAACGGAGGAGCACGAAGGUUGGCUAAUCCUGGUCGGACAUCAGGAGGUUAGUGCAAUGGCAUAAGCCAGCUUGACUGCGAGCGUGACGGCGCGAGCAGGUGCGAAAGCAGGUCAUAGUGAUCCGGUGGUUCUGAAUGGAAGGGCCAUCGCUCAACGGAUAAAAGGUACUCCGGGGAUAACAGGCUGAUACCGCCCAAGAGUUCAUAUCGACGGCGGUGUUUGGCACCUCGAUGUCGGCUCAUCACAUCCUGGGGCUGAAGUAGGUCCCAAGGGUAUGGCUGUUCGCCAUUUAAAGUGGUACGCGAGCUGGGUUUAGAACGUCGUGAGACAGUUCGGUCCCUAUCUGCCGUGGGCGCUGGAGAACUGAGGGGGGCUGCUCCUAGUACGAGAGGACCGGAGUGGACGCAUCACUGGUGUUCGGGUUGUCAUGCCAAUGGCACUGCCCGGUAGCUAAAUGCGGAAGAGAUAAGUGCUGAAAGCAUCUAAGCACGAAACUUGCCCCGAGAUGAGUUCUCCCUGACUCUUUGAGGGUCCUGAAGGAACGUUGAAGACGACGACGUUGAUAGGCCGGGUGUGUAAGCGCAGCGAUGCGUUGAGCUAACCGGUACUAAUGAACCGUGAGGCUUAACCUU